Molecule: unclassified non-coding RNA, 183 nt
Organism: Chelonoidis abingdonii (Abingdon island giant tortoise)
Lineage: Eukaryota; Metazoa; Chordata; Testudines; Testudinidae
Source: Ensembl
UUGACUCCCUUGGAGACUGAAGGCCUUUUAUUUAUCCACAGGAUAGGUACAGCCUGGGCAACAACAAUGCAAGCUUCCCCGCACUGUCCUGUCAUCAUCCCUCGACUCUGUCUUGGAGGGUUUCCUCCCAAGAUGAGAGGGAGGGUACUUACAGUGUGCCAUUCUAGUCAAUGGGAGUUGAGU